RNAcentral lists this ribosomal RNA (464 nucleotides) under uncultured bacterium. RNAcentral describes it as "bacterial SSU rRNA". It matches the Rfam family "Bacterial small subunit ribosomal RNA", at positions 331 to 793 of the family's 1533-position model. The record is from RNAcentral.
CCAGACUCCUACGGGAGGCAGCAGUGAGGAAUAUUGGUCAAUGGCCGAGAGGCUGAACCAGCCAAGUCGCGUGAGGGAUGACGGCCCUACGGGUUGUAAACCUCUUUUGUCGGGGAGCAAAGAGAGUCACGUGUGGCUCAUUGAGAGUACCCGAAGAAAAAGCAUCGGCUAACUCCGUGCCAGCAGCCGCGGUAAUACGGAGGAUGCGAGCGUUAUCCGGAUUUAUUGGGUUUAAAGGGUGCGCAGGCGGAUUUUUAAGUCAGCGGUAAAAUCGUGGGGCUCAACCCCAUCCAGCCGUUGAAACUGGGGAUCUAGAGUGUGCGAGAGGUAUGCGGAAUGCGUGGUGUAGCGGUGAAAUGCAUAGAUAUCACGCAGAACCCCGAUUGCGAAGGCAGCAUACCGGCGCCCAACUGACGCUGAAGCACGAAAGCGUGGGUAUCGAACAGGAUUAGAUACCCGAGUAC